CCACAAACGGGAGGCCGUGAUCCGCCGGACGUACCACUUCGGCCACCGCGGUCCGGCGGGGAGCCACUGGUGAGACCGGCCCGCGGGCCG
This 90-nucleotide non-coding RNA is filed under the name unclassified sequences. RNAcentral describes it as "c-di-GMP sequence". It matches the Rfam family "c-di-GMP-II-GAG riboswitch aptamer". The record is from Rfam by way of RNAcentral.